AUACCGCGUGUGUGAAGAAGGCCUUCGGGUUGUAAAGCACUUUAAGCAGGGAGAAAAAGUUAUAAGUUAAUACCUUAUAACCCUGAUGUUACCUGCAGAAUAAGCACCGGCUAAUUCCGUGCCAGCAGCCGCGGUAAUACGGAAGGUGCAAGCGUUAAUCGGAAUUACUGGGCGUAAGCGCGCGUAGGUGGUUUGUUAAGUUGGAUGUGAAAGCCCUGGGCUCAACCUAGGAACUGCAUCCAAAACUAACUCACUAGAGUACGAUAGAGGGAGGUAGAAUUCAUAGUGUAGGCGGUGGAAUGCGUAGAUAUUAUGAAGAAUACCAGUGGCGAAGGCGGCCUCCUGGAUCUGUACUGACACUGAGGUGCGAAAGCGUGGGUAGCGAACAGGAUUAGAUACCCUGGUAGUCCACGCCGUAAACGAUGACAACUAGCUGUUGRGAGACUAUGUCUUUCAGUGGCGCAGCUAACGCUUUAAGUUGUCCGCCUGGGGAGUACGGCCGCAAGGCUAAAACUCAAAUGAAUUGACGGGGACCCGCACAAGCGGUGGAGCGUGUGGUUUAAUUCGAUGCAACGCGAAAAACCUUACCUACUCUUGACAUACUUGGAGGCUCUUGUAAUGAGAGUGUGCCUUUUGGAACCAAGAUACAGGUGCUGCAUGGCUGUCGUCAGCUCGUGUCGUGAGAUGUUCCGUUAAGUCGGAUAACGAGCGCAACCCUUACCCUUAUUUGCCAGCGAUUCGGUCGGGAACUAUAAGGGGACUGCCGGUGAUAAACCGGAGGAAGGUGAGGACGACGUCAAGUCAUCAUGGCCCUUACGAGUAGGGCUACACACGUGCUACAAUGGGAGAUACAGACGGACGCUAAGCCGCGAGGUGGUGCUAAUCCUAAAAAGUCUUUCGUAGUCCGGAUUGGAGUCUGCAACUCGACUCCAUGAAGUCGGAAUCGCUAGUAAUCGCGGAUCAGCAUGCCGCGGUGAAUACGUUCUCGGGUCUUGUACACACCGCCCGUCACACCAUGGAAGUGGAUUGCACCAGAAGUAGAUAGUCUAACCUUAGGGAGGGCGUUUACCACGGUGUGCUUCAUGACUGGGGUGAAGUCGUAACAAGGUAGCCGUAGGGGAACCUGUGGCUGGAUCACCUCCUUUCUA
RNAcentral lists this ribosomal RNA (1148 nucleotides) under uncultured SAR86 cluster bacterium. Its description in RNAcentral is "bacterial SSU rRNA". It matches the Rfam family "Bacterial small subunit ribosomal RNA", at positions 394 to 1533 of the family's 1533-position model. The record is from RNAcentral. Lineage: Bacteria; Pseudomonadati; Pseudomonadota; Gammaproteobacteria.